Molecule: unclassified non-coding RNA, 1314 nt
Filed under: Hevea brasiliensis (rubber tree)
Lineage: Eukaryota; Viridiplantae; Streptophyta; Magnoliopsida; Malpighiales; Euphorbiaceae
Source: RNAcentral
CUUAAAUUUAUUAUAAUAUUAUCCUUUUGCAUUUUAUGCAUGAUUGAUUCGAAACGAAAGAAAACCAAAAGCUUUGUUACUUCCUUGAUUAUAUCAUCUGUUCUGGAAUUAUUUGGUCAUAGUCCCACUUAAAUUUCACUGUUAACGAUACCCUCUAAAUUACCAUGCAUGCAUAGGACAAACUCCUUGAAUUUCUUUUCUUUUCUUUUUUGAUAAAUUAUUUUUCUAAUGCACUGUAAAAUAAAUAUUUUUUACCAUUGAGUAAUGAUAUUGGUCCAACAUAUGCAUGGGAAUGGGAUUAAUAUUUAGCACCCAAACCAACAUUAUCGUUGGUAAAAGUUUCCAUCAUGUAGGUCCCUAUUGGCAGCAUCAUAAUAACUUCAUCAUCCUACCUUUCUUUUCCUCUUUCAGAGAAGCAGUUUUCAGUAACUAAUUAGCACUAGUAGUGCUACUGCUACUUCUAUUAGCAGAAGAGUUCAAUUAAUUUUCUCUAAUUGUAUGCCAUUGAUUAAUUCUACUUUUGCAGGUAUCCACCUUGCACUCCUCGCUAUGGGUACCACCAGGCUAUCUAUAACACACAAGUUCAACACCCACAAUACUAUCAUCAAGUGUAUGGAACAUCAUCAUCCGCGAUGGGCUCACCAUACUACUAUCAUGGUUACUCUUUGCAACCUCCAAGGGAAGCACGUUCUGCACCUCAACCUCUACGUUUACCAGGACCACCCUCCUAUUUUUACUACCCUAGCAGUACUUUCGACCCAUCCUUCUCUACGUAUCCUCCUCCGCCUACUAUUCAACCCACAAGGCAUCCCUUCCCUUCUUCUACUGAUUCGCAGCAGACUCCACAGCAUCCCACAACAGAAACAGAAGCUGGUGUGGUUACUUCGGAAAUUUCAAAUCCUUAGCUUAAAGAAAGAAUUCAUCAUCAACAUAUACAUGAUUCGAUGAAAAUUUUAUUUGUGUAAUCUCCAUAACUUGGUGGUCUUCAUCUCUGAUGUCCUAUGUUCUCAGCAUUUCCUUUAUCUUUUAACCACUCCACAGAGAGAUUAUAUUCAACUUCUCUCCAGCUGCUGCAGCAAAGGAUUCGGACUAAUGAACCAGCUUAUGCAGAUCUUUAAUUAUUUAUUUUUUUCCCAUGUUAAUUUGAGUUAAUCAUUCUUAUAAAGUAUACAAAUUUUAACAUCUUGAACAAAAUCUGUAUGAACAGAAAGUAGGGAAGUACAGUACUCCCUCAAUAAGAAAUUUUGUUAAAACAGUCAGGUCUCCGAUUUCUGUCCUUUUGGUUGGAAAUCUAUGUAGGGAAAACAAAAAAAU